CCUACGGGAGGCAGCAGUGAGGAAUAUUGGGCAAUGGAGGCAACUCUGACCCAGCCAUGCCGCGUGAGUGAAGAAGGUUUUCGGAUUGUAAAGCUCUUUCGGAUGUGACGAUGAUGACGGUAGCAUCUAGAGAAGCCCCGGCUUACUUCUUGCCAGCAGCCGCUGUAAUACGAAGGGGGGCAGCGGUGUUCGGAGUUACUGGGCGUAAAGGGAGUGUAGGCGGUUUAGUAAGAUAGUCGUGAAAUCCCAGAGCUUAACUUUGGAAUUGCCAUUAUAACUAUUAGACUAGAAUUACAGAGAGGAUAGUGGAAUACCUAGUGUAGAGGUGAAAUUCGUAGAUAUUGGGUAGAACACCAGUGGCGAAGGCGACUAUCUGGCUGUACAUUGACGCUGAGGCUCGAAAGCAUGGGGAUCAAACAGGAUUAGAUACCCCGGUAGUC
RNAcentral lists this ribosomal RNA (440 nucleotides) under uncultured bacterium. Its description in RNAcentral is "partial 16S ribosomal RNA". It matches the Rfam family "Bacterial small subunit ribosomal RNA", at positions 338 to 795 of the family's 1533-position model. The record is from RNAcentral.